This 456-nucleotide ribosomal RNA is filed under the name Polynucleobacter sp. Fw70-26. RNAcentral describes it as "bacterial SSU rRNA". It matches the Rfam family "Bacterial small subunit ribosomal RNA", at positions 30 to 478 of the family's 1533-position model. The record is from RNAcentral. RNAcentral also lists the same sequence under 7 other names. Lineage: Bacteria; Pseudomonadati; Pseudomonadota; Betaproteobacteria; Burkholderiales; Burkholderiaceae.
AUUGAACGCUGGCGGCAUGCCUUACACAUGCAAGUCGAACGGCAGCACGGGUGCUUGCACCUGGUGGCGAGUGGCGAACGGGUGAGUAAUACAUCGGAACGUACCUUAUCGUGGGGGAUAACGCAGCGAAAGCUGUGCUAAUACCGCAUACGCCCUGAGGGGGAAAGCGGGGGAUCGAAAGACCUCGCGCGAUUAGAGCGGCCGAUGCCUGAUUAGCUUGUUGGUGGGGUAAAAGCCCACCAAGGCGACGAUCAGUAGCUGGUCUGAGAGGACGAUCAGCCACACUGGGACUGAGACACGGCCCAGACUCCUACGGGAGGCAGCAGUGGGGAAUUUUGGACAAUGGGGGCAACCCUGAUCCAGCAAUGCCGCGUGAGUGAAGAAGGCCUUCGGGUUGUAAAGCUCUUUUGUCAGGGAAGAAACACCGGCUCUAACACAGUCCGGGAAUGACGGUAC